Long non-coding RNA from Vulpes vulpes (red fox), 1665 nucleotides. The record is from Ensembl. Lineage: Eukaryota; Metazoa; Chordata; Mammalia; Carnivora; Canidae.
AAAAAACUGUUCUUUCCACUUCUCUCUCUGUGGUAGAUUAAAGAUAGCCACAAAUUCUUUGCUAUUCCUCCCAUCAAGAAAUGGAGUCUCUUUCCCAUCUCAAAUCUAGGCAUGUCCUGUGACUUGCUUUGGCCAGUAGAACAUGGCAGAAAUGACGGAGGGCUUGUUCUGGGCCAAGCCUUUGAGAAGCCUGGCAGCUUCCACUACAUAGGGGGAAGCCAGCUAGCAGUGAAAAAGUCUCGCAAUUCUGAGACUCCUGGGCGAGGGCCUAGCUAGCCAUGUGGAGAAGCCACCCAGCAAACAACUGAGGGCCCAGACAUAUGACCCCAGCUGAGCCAUCCCCGCCAAUAUUCCCAGUCAUUUCAAGCGACCCAGCCAAGCAUCCAGACACCGUGGAGCAGACAAGCCCUCCCCGCUGUGCCUCUCCAAAUGCCUGAAUCACAAAAUCAUAAGUAGAAUAGCUACUGCUUCAAACCACUAAGUUCUGGGGGUAGUUCUUACUCAGCAAUAGGUAACCAAAAGCCUCUAUGCUGUUCUUUUUCUCCCCCUUCCCUGAAAAAUAAGAAGACGUUACUGGGAUGUGUAGUCUGACAGAGUUGGCUUUUAUUACAAAUCCUGUAGCCGCAGUGCUGACCAUGCAAACUAACAUUCUGACCCAAAAGAUACACUGUGCCAAACACUCAGAAAGCUAUCUUCCUAGAAACUUCCAGCUAAGUAUUGUCAGGGAGCCAAUAGCGCAUGGGUGUUUUCGAGCUGGAAAUAAUCAGGUCAUUAUUGAAUUUGGAAAACCAGAUUGCCAGCCCCUGACAUCACAAAAGGAUUGCUCUUCUCUGGAACCUACUCUGCAUGAGUUCAUCCAGAGGCUGGACCCUCAAAGGGAUACACCCUGGGUCAUCCACCUGGUCCUAUAUGCCCAUCUCGGUCCCAGCUACCAUGACUGGGGAGUGUCUGGGAGUCAUCGAGGGGCUGAAAGAGCUGGCCAAAAUCACGGCUUCUGACAUGCACAUCUCCACUAGUCAUUACAGCCCAGAAAUUGGAAAACACUUUAUUCGUCCAGAUGAACGUGCAGAGAUGUUUCUGACUUCACUGUCACGGGUUGGAUCGGCACUCCUCUGUAAAAUGUCAAAUGAAGACUACACCAGGGCUUCUUCAACCUUAGCAUGUGUAAGAAGACUUUGGCAGCUUGUCAAAAUGCAGAUUCCUACACACCCCCAGAGCAUCUGGCUCAGUAAGUCUGGGGUAGAGACCAAGAUGCUUGAACUCAAACAAGCCACCAGUUAGUGCUGAUGCAGCUGGUCUGGGAACCACCCUUUGACCAGCACUGGCCUACACCAGUAGCCUCUUCAGUGAAGGCUGGCAUCUCACCUUUAAAGAUUCCUUUCCCGGGGUAAAGAAAUGUGCAAAUUAAAUAUACCAGUCCAUGUGACCAACUAAAGAAAACUGUAUUCUUAUUUUGGGUUUCAGUUCAAUUCGCCAAACUUACUCUGCUGUCUUGCACUAUGUCCACUGAAGACAUCAGAUUUACCCUCAAGAAGAUUCCUACCUCUACAUGUAUGUAAAUACCAAGGCAAAUUAUAAUGAGACUGUGAUAUAACAAACACCAAAAAUGAAGCCCAAACUCCUAGUGGAUGCUAGCAUUCAGGGAAUGUCAAAGCAAAGAUGAAC